GUAACGUGUGAAGACAGCCCUGUAGUCUUCGCUUCUCCCGCGCAUUUCCAGGAAAAGUGGAAAUUUUGAUGGUUCGGAGCGGACCUAUGCGGGUUGGAUAUGGGAGACCCGACUUAAUGGCUUUAAGAGAGCUACCCACACGGCCUUUGGGGCUCAUCCUCACGUCAACAAAAAUGUAACCGGAGCGGUAUGGUAAACAGCUUGCACCCUGACAAAAAGGGUGCUGCUGUUGAAGAGCUUUCAACCACUCUGGGUGAUGCCAACGAUACAUCUUGCUAAAGUGGUAAUUAUGCUUCUGGACCUUUUCCUGGAAAACAUAUAAAAUAUGUGCUCUCUGACAAGAUUUGCAGUGAAAAACAGUAAGAAUCCUAGUAGCCCAGGAGGAUUUUACUCGUAACAAUUUCUUCUUUCCAAGUUGGAUUCUGAAUCAUUCUUGCCUACUGUCGUGAUCAACAUUUUGGCACUGAAACAAAGCAAAAGAAAAAAGAAAAAGAGAAAGAAAAAGAAAAACAAUGCCAAAACAAAAAACAAAGCAACAAACAAAAGACUGAAUGACCUGAUCUUCAAGGAGAAAGGAGAUAAAGCUGCUGAUUUUCAGGGAUAUUUUCAGCUUCGAAUUUCAGAGAUACAAAUGACAAGACAGACGUGGAUAAUCUACUAGAAGAUGCUACUGAGGUAGGAGACCCAGACUAGGGAGAAAAUGGAGGGAGCAGCUUAGAUAGGGGGAGUGGUGACCAUGCAUGAAGAGGGAGUUAUUUCUCAGCUUCCUCUGUGAUCAGUGCAGAUACACCUAAAUGCUCCGGGUAUUUGUUCCAGUUGAUACUGGUUGGGCAUGGCAAAUCCUUUGUAUUAACAUGACAGUGGCAUGUACUGUCAAAGCAUUGAUUUUAUGAGGACUCUAGAGAGACGUGACCAGGUAUGUUGGUUAGAAGCCAAAUACUGCCUCUAUUUAUCAUCUUCUUUAUCCUUCUCUUCCUUAAGAAU
Camelus dromedarius (Arabian camel) is the source of this 984-nucleotide long non-coding RNA. RefSeq lists it as uncharacterized. The transcript is spliced from 5 exons. The record is from RefSeq and is a predicted model, not a curated record. NCBI's taxonomy places the organism in Eukaryota, Metazoa, Chordata, Mammalia, Artiodactyla, Camelidae.